RNAcentral lists this ribosomal RNA (440 nucleotides) under uncultured bacterium. RNAcentral's name for it is "partial 16S ribosomal RNA". It matches the Rfam family "Bacterial small subunit ribosomal RNA", at positions 338 to 795 of the family's 1533-position model. The record is from RNAcentral.
CCUACGGGAGGCUGCAGUGGGGAAUAUUGCACAAUGGGGGAAACCCUGAUGCAGCGACGCCGCGUGAGUGAAGAAGGAUCUCGGUAGGAAAAGGUCGAUCAGCAGGGAAGAAAAUGACGGUACCUGACUAAGAAGCCCCGGCUAACGACGUCCCAGCAGCCGCGGUAAUACGUAGGGGGCAAGCGUUAUCCGGAGUGACGGGGUGUAAAGGGAGCGUAGACGGCAGCGCAAGUCAGUAGUGAAAUGCCGGGGCGCAACCCCGGAACUGCUUUGGAAACUGUGCAGCUCGAGUGCAGGAGAGGUAAGCGGAAUUCCUGGUGUAGCGGUGAAAUGCGUAGAUAUUAGGAGGAACCCCAGUGGCGAAGGCGGCUUACUGGACUGUAACUGACGUUGAGGCUCGAAAGCGUGGGGAGCAAACAGGAUUAGAUACCCGUGUAGUC